UACGAAGGGGGCUAGCGUUGCUCGGAAUCACUGGGCGUAAAGCGCACGUAGGCGGAUCUUUAAGUCAGGGGUGAAAUCCUGGAGCUCAACUCCAGAACUGCCUUUGAUACUGGGGAUCUCGAGUCCGGGAGAGGUGAGUGGAACUGCGAGUGUAGAGGUGAAAUUCGUAGAUAUUCGCAAGAACACCAGUGGCGAAGGCGGCUCACUGGCCCGGUACUGACGCUGAGGUGCGAAAGCGUGGGUAGCAAACAGG
This 253-nucleotide ribosomal RNA is filed under the name uncultured bacterium. RNAcentral's name for it is "partial 16S ribosomal RNA". It matches the Rfam family "Bacterial small subunit ribosomal RNA", at positions 524 to 776 of the family's 1533-position model. The record is from RNAcentral.